UGGGGAAUCUUGCGCAAUGGGCGGAAGCCUGACGCAGCGACGCCGCGUGGGGGAUGACGGCCUUCGGGUUGUAAACCUCUUUCGCCAGGGACGAAGCUUUAUUGUGACGGUACCUGGAUAAGAAGCACCGGCCAACUACGUGCCAGCAGCCGCGGUAACACGUAGGGUGCGAGCGUUGUCCGGAAUUAUUGGGCGUAAAGAGCUCGUAGGCGGUGUGUCACGUCGGCCGUGAAAACUUGGGGCUUAACUCUGAGCGUGCGGUCGAUACGGGCAUCACUUGAGUUCGGCAGGGGAGACUGGAAUUCCUGGUGUAGCGGUGAAAUGCGCAGAUAUCAGGAGGAACACCGGUGGCGAAGGCGGGUCUCUGGGCCGAUACUGACGCUGAGGAGCGAAAGCGUGGGGAGCGAACAGGAUUAGAUACCCUGGUAGUCCACGCCGUAAACGU
RNAcentral lists this ribosomal RNA (445 nucleotides) under uncultured bacterium. RNAcentral describes it as "bacterial SSU rRNA". It matches the Rfam family "Bacterial small subunit ribosomal RNA", at positions 355 to 809 of the family's 1533-position model. The record is from RNAcentral.